This 490-nucleotide ribosomal RNA is filed under the name uncultured bacterium. RNAcentral's name for it is "partial 16S ribosomal RNA". It matches the Rfam family "Bacterial small subunit ribosomal RNA", at positions 28 to 507 of the family's 1533-position model. The record is from RNAcentral.
GAUGAACGCUAGCGGCAGGCCUAAUACAUGCAAGUCGAACGGGAUCCAGAUCAAAGCUUGCUUUGGUUUGGUGAGAGUGGCGUACGGGUGCGUAGCGCGUGAGCAACCUACCCUUGUCAGGGGGAUAGCCCGGCGAAAGUCGGAUUAAUACCGCAUGACAUCAUUGAGAGGCAUCUUUCGAUGAUCAAAGAUUUAUCGGACAAGGAUGGGCUCGCGUGACAUUAGCUAGUUGGUAAGGUAACGGCUUACCAAGGCUACGAUGUCUAGGGGCUCUGAGAGGAGAAUCCCCCACACUGGUACUGAGACACGGACCAGACUCCUACGGGAGGCAGCAGUAAGGAAUAUUGGUCAAUGGACGGAAGUCUGAACCAGCCAUGCCGCGUGCAGGAAGACGGCCCUAUGGGUUGUAAACUGCUUUUAUACGGGAACAAACGUCGGUACGUGUACCGGUCUGAGUGUACCGUAAGAAUAAGGAUCGGCUAACUCCGUG